UACAGAGGGUGCAAGCGUUAAUCGGAUUUACUGGGCGUAAAGCGUGCGUAGGCGGUUCAUUAAGUCGGUUGUGAAAUCCCUGGGCUUAACCUGGGAACUGCAGUCGAUACUGAUGGACUAGAGUGCGGUAGAGGGUGGCGGAACUCCGGGUGUAGCGGUGAAAUGCGCAGAUAUCAGGAGGAACACCAAUGGCGAAGGCAGCACUCUGGGCCGUGACUGACGCUGAGACGCGAAAGCGUGGGGAGCAAACAGG
RNAcentral lists this ribosomal RNA (253 nucleotides) under uncultured bacterium. RNAcentral's name for it is "partial 16S ribosomal RNA". It matches the Rfam family "Bacterial small subunit ribosomal RNA", at positions 524 to 776 of the family's 1533-position model. The record is from RNAcentral.